AUUGAACGCUGGCGGCAUGCCUAACACAUGCAAGUCGAGCGGAAGAAGGCCGCAUGUUCCUGACUUGUGUCGAGGGCGGGCGUGUUACACCGAGGCGUGUCCCGGCGCGGGGGGGAUAUCCUCCCUAGAGGAGCGCUAAUCUCAUACACGCUAUGAAUGAGAACGGGGGGGUUCAACGGAUCUCGCGCUUCUAGCUGCCCCUAGGUCGUAUUAGCUAGUUGGUGGGGUAAAGGCUUACCAAGGCAACGAUCCAUAUCUGGUCUGAGAGGAUGAUCAGACACACUGGAACUGAGACACGGUCCAGACUCCUACGGGAGGCAGCAGUGGGGAAUAUUGGACAAUGGGCGAAAGCCUGAUCCAGCAAUGCCGCGUGUGUGAAGAAGGUCUUCGGAUUGUAAACUGCUUUUAUUAGGGAGGAAAAGGCGUUGGUUAAUACCUGGGUAUAUUGACGGUACCGAAAGAAUAAGCACCGGCUAACUACGUG
Molecule: ribosomal RNA, 484 nt
Filed under: uncultured bacterium
Lineage: Bacteria
Description: partial 16S ribosomal RNA
Rfam family: Bacterial small subunit ribosomal RNA
Source: RNAcentral